This 261-nucleotide ribosomal RNA is filed under the name uncultured bacterium. RNAcentral describes it as "partial 16S ribosomal RNA". It matches the Rfam family "Bacterial small subunit ribosomal RNA", at positions 92 to 354 of the family's 1533-position model. The record is from RNAcentral.
UUAGUGGCGGACGGGUGAGUAACGCGUGGGUAACCUGCCUUGCACUGGGGGAUAACACUUAGAAAUAGGUGCUAAUACCGCAUAAGCGCACGGUCCUGCAUGGGACAGUGUGAAAAACUCCGGUGGUGCAAGAUGGACCCGCGUCUGAUUAGCUGGUUGGCGGGGUAAAGCCCACCAAGGCGACGAUCAGUAGCCGGCCUGAGAGGGUGGACGGCCACAUUGGGACUGAGACACGGCCCAAACUCCUACGGGAGGCAGCAG